AGCAUUUUUGUUAACAGAGGAUCAACAAAAAUGGCAAAGAAAAGCACACCGUGGUCCGCCGAGGAAGUUACGACGUUCCUACACUUUAUUGCAGAUGACAAGAUCCAGCGGGAGCUCGACGGGACAACUCGCAAUAUGAAAGUAUUUCAGGAGGUCUCUACACUGAUGUGCGGAAGCGGUUACUCGAGGACUGUCUUGCAGUGUAGGGAACAACUGAAAAAGAUGAAGAGUGAGUAUCUCGUAGUGAAGGACAACAACAACAACACGAGUGGUGCCCGUAGGAAAAACUGGAAGUGGUUUGACCUAAUGGACACCAUUAACGGCCAUAGACCGGCUAGCGUUGGGAGGGAGGGAGGUCUGGACUCAGCAAGGGCUUUACUGGAGGCUCUGCAUGAUGAUAACAUUGGGACGAACGAGGAGGAACAGCCCUCAGCUUCAACGUCCUCUGCAUCAACAUGACAACAGCUCGAACAACAAACCCCAACAAGAGCACAGACACCAACGCCUAGCAAGAGGAAACGAGGAGGAGAGGAUCUGGCCCAGCAGGAACGGCACCUGGUCCAGCAGAAGGAAGCCCAGCAGGAUCAGCACUUGAACCGGACCUUGGGGGAGGCGAGGGAGUUGGAAGCAGCCUUGAGAAGGGAGGAGAUCGCUCAAGCAGAGACCUUUUUAAUUUAGCCUUCCUCCGCACUCUUGGCCAGGUGCUAGGGGGAAUGGGCAGCUGACGUGCCCUGUCUCCUCCGCCUCUGUGAUACAACAAAUAACCUCUGACUGAGAUUAUAUUGUUUAUUUACAUUUGUACUUUUUUGUUUAUUUUUUAUCUUUAAAAUGUUUAUUUUUACAAUCAAUACCAUGCCUUUUUAUGUUGCUGCAACAAAACACUACCCAAAUGGGGAUCAAUAAAGUACUUCUUUGACUUA
This is a long non-coding RNA of Notothenia coriiceps (black rockcod), 920 nucleotides long. RefSeq lists it as uncharacterized. The record is from RefSeq and is a predicted model, not a curated record. The transcript is spliced from 3 exons. NCBI's taxonomy places the organism in Eukaryota, Metazoa, Chordata, Actinopteri, Perciformes, Nototheniidae.